RNAcentral lists this ribosomal RNA (253 nucleotides) under uncultured bacterium. RNAcentral's name for it is "partial 16S ribosomal RNA". It matches the Rfam family "Bacterial small subunit ribosomal RNA", at positions 524 to 776 of the family's 1533-position model. The record is from RNAcentral.
UACGUAGGGUGCGAGCGUUGUCCGGAAUUAUUGGGCGUAAAGAGCUUGUAGGCGGUUUGUCGCGUCUGCUGUGAAAACUCGGGGCUUAACCCCGAGCCUGCAGUGGGUACGGGCAGACUAGAGUGUGGUAGGGGAGACUGGAAUUCCUGGUGUAGCGGUGGAAUGCGCAGAUAUCAGGAGGAACACCGAUGGCGAAGGCAGGUCUCUGGGCCAUAACUGACGCUGAGAAGCGAAAGCGUGGGGAGCGAACAGG